This 244-nucleotide unclassified non-coding RNA is filed under the name Hevea brasiliensis (rubber tree). Lineage: Eukaryota; Viridiplantae; Streptophyta; Magnoliopsida; Malpighiales; Euphorbiaceae. The record is from RNAcentral.
UAAACGUCAAGAAUUGAGAGCUAGAACGCCGAUCUCUUUGUUACUUUUCUUUGUUCCUGGUUCUUGGGUUUCUGUCAAUUCUUCUUCCUUCCAUCUCGAUCUUCAUUUCUCCCUAUCUGGGUCUUUAAUUAUUGAAGCUUUUUCCUUGAAAUUGAUUGGUUCGAUAUUAUAAUAUUGGGUCACAAGCACAAGUAUUAGGGGACUUUGCUUGAUUUUCUUCUUCUUUUUAAUCUUGAUAUCCCAG